GCCGGGCGUAGUGGCACAUGCCUGUAGUCCCAGCUACUUGGGAGGCUGAGGCGGGAGAAUCGCUUGAACCCAGGAGGCUGAGGUUGCAGUGAGCCUAGAUUGCGCCACUGAACUCUAGCCUGGGUGACAGAGCGGGAUUCCAUCUCAA
RNAcentral lists this signal recognition particle RNA (148 nucleotides) under Chlorocebus sabaeus (green monkey). Its description in RNAcentral is "Metazoan signal recognition particle RNA". It matches the Rfam family "Metazoan signal recognition particle RNA". Rfam says of the family: The signal recognition particle (SRP) is a universally conserved ribonucleoprotein. It is involved in the co-translational targeting of proteins to membranes. The eukaryotic SRP consists of a 300-nucleotide 7S RNA and six proteins: SRPs 72, 68, 54, 19, 14, and 9. The record is from Rfam by way of RNAcentral. Lineage: Eukaryota; Metazoa; Chordata; Mammalia; Primates; Cercopithecidae.